GACGAACGCUGGCGGCAUGCUUAACACAUGCAAGUCGAACGGCAAGGCCCUGUUUUUGUGGGGUGCUCGAGUGGCACACGGGUGAGUUACACGUGAGUAACCUGCCCUUGACUUUGGGGUACCUUCAGGACCCUGGGGCUAAUACCGGCUAGGAGCUCCUGCUGCCUGGGGGGCGUUGGACAGCUUCCGCGGGUGGGGAUGGAUUGUAGGGUUACCAGCUUGUUGGUGGGGGAGUGGCUUACCAGGGCUUCGACGGAUAGGCGGCCUGAGAGGUGGACCGGCGACAUGGGGACUGAGAUACGGAGCAGACGGCUACGGGAGGCAGAAGGGGGGAGUAUUGCACAAUGGGCGGAAGUCUGUGGUAGCGGCGUCGCGGGCGUGAUGACGGCCUGGGGGGUAUGAACCGCAUUCUCCUGUGACGAAGCGUGGGUGACGGUAACGGGUAAAGAAGCACCGGCUAACUACGUG
RNAcentral lists this ribosomal RNA (468 nucleotides) under uncultured bacterium. Its description in RNAcentral is "partial 16S ribosomal RNA". It matches the Rfam family "Bacterial small subunit ribosomal RNA", at positions 28 to 507 of the family's 1533-position model. The record is from RNAcentral.